RNAcentral lists this ribosomal RNA (253 nucleotides) under uncultured bacterium. RNAcentral describes it as "partial 16S ribosomal RNA". It matches the Rfam family "Bacterial small subunit ribosomal RNA", at positions 524 to 776 of the family's 1533-position model. The record is from RNAcentral.
UACGUAGGUGGCAAGCGUUGUCCGGAUUUACUGGGCGUAAAGCGCGCGCAGGCGGUCCUUUAAGUCUGAUGUGAAAGCCCACGGCUCAACCGUGGAGGGUCAUUGGAAACUGGGGGACUUGAGUGCAGAAGAGGAAAGCGGAAUUCCACGUGUAGCGGUGAAAUGCGUAGAGAUGUGGAGGAACACCAGUGGCGAAGGCGGCUUUCUGGUCUGUAACUGACGCUGAGGCGCGAAAGCGUGGGGAGCAAACAGG